GCAUUGGUGGUUCAGGGUAGAAUUCUCACCUUCUGUGAGAGAGACCCAGGUUCAAUACCCGGCCAGUGCA
This 70-nucleotide transfer RNA is filed under the name Loxodonta africana (African savanna elephant). It matches the Rfam family "tRNA". From Rfam's summary of the family: Transfer RNA (tRNA) molecules are approximately 80 nucleotides in length. Lineage: Eukaryota; Metazoa; Chordata; Mammalia; Proboscidea; Elephantidae. The record is from Rfam by way of RNAcentral.